UACGUAGGGUGCGAGCGUUAAUCGGAAUUACUGGGCGUAAAGCGUGCGCAGGCGGUUUUGUAAGCCAGAUGUUAAAUCCCCGGGCUUAACCUGGGAAUGGCAUUUGGGACUGCAAGGCUCGAGUGCGGCAGAGGGGGAUGGAAUUCCGCGUGUAGCAGUGAAAUGCGUAGAUAUGCGGAGGAACACCGAUGGCGAAGGCAAUCCCCUGGGCCUGCACUGACGCUCAUGCACGAAAGCGUGGGGAGCAAACAGG
This 253-nucleotide ribosomal RNA is filed under the name uncultured bacterium. Its description in RNAcentral is "partial 16S ribosomal RNA". It matches the Rfam family "Bacterial small subunit ribosomal RNA", at positions 524 to 776 of the family's 1533-position model. The record is from RNAcentral.